RNAcentral lists this transfer RNA (71 nucleotides) under Stereomastis sculpta. RNAcentral describes it as "tRNA-Ile". The record is from RNAcentral. Lineage: Eukaryota; Metazoa; Arthropoda; Malacostraca; Decapoda; Crangonidae.
UUUACGGUGCCUGAUUAAAGGAUAGUCUUGAUAGGACUAAUUAUGUAAAUUACCCCAAAUUACCCGUAAUA